Cydia amplana is the source of this 334-nucleotide long non-coding RNA. RefSeq lists it as uncharacterized. Lineage: Eukaryota; Metazoa; Arthropoda; Insecta; Lepidoptera; Tortricidae. The record is from RefSeq and is a predicted model, not a curated record. The transcript has 3 exons.
GCAAACGACGAAUGGGUAUGAGAGUACAACCUUAGCAGAAGUGCUUACCACGGAGUCAACCAAUGUGACAGAGGAAAUAAAUACAACGUGCAGCGAUGACCAGUGGCAGUGUGAAAACGGUGAAUGCAUUUCCAACACAACGUUGUGCGACGGUUUUAUCGACUGCAAGGACGCGUCCGACGAGUAUAGGAAGACCUGCAACGGUUCAAAUCCGAGACCCUUGUUCGGACUACUUCUACAUUGCAUAUCCUGGUCCAAGAAUCACGAGAAAGUAUGCCAUCAAAUCUGCCACGACGCACCUGAGUUUUGUUACUACGCUCUUAUAACUGAAAAU